AGAGUUUGAUCCUGGCUCAGGAUGAACGCUAGCUACAGGCUUAACACAUGCAAGUCGAGGGGCAGCAUUUCAGUUUGCUUGCAAACUGGAGAUGGCGACCGGCGCACGGGUGAGUAACACGUAUCCAACCUGCCGAUAACUCGGGGAUAGCCUUUCGAAAGAAAGAUUAAUACCCGAUGGUAUAAUUAGACCGCAUGGUCUUAUUAUUAAAGAAUUUCGGUUAUCGAUGGGGAUGCGUUCCAUUAGGCAGUUGGUGAGGUAACGGCUCACCAAACCUUCGAUGGAUAGGGGUUCUGAGAGGAAGGUCCCCCACAUUGGAACUGAGACACGGUCCAAACUCCUACGGGAGGCGCA
This 354-nucleotide ribosomal RNA is filed under the name uncultured bacterium. Its description in RNAcentral is "bacterial SSU rRNA". It matches the Rfam family "Bacterial small subunit ribosomal RNA", at positions 8 to 353 of the family's 1533-position model. The record is from RNAcentral.